Non-coding RNA from Oryza barthii, 208 nucleotides. Lineage: Eukaryota; Viridiplantae; Streptophyta; Magnoliopsida; Poales; Poaceae. The record is from Rfam.
AAAAACUCAAUUCCUAGGUUUCCGUGUCUAACGUUUGAUCGUCCGUCUUAUUUAAAAAAAUAAUAAAAAUUUUUUAAAAAAGAUAAAUCAUGCAUAAAAUAUUAUUCAUAUUUUAUUAUCUAACAAUAAUAAAAAUACUAAUUAUAAAAAAAAUCAUGUAAGACGAAUGAUUAAAUAUUGGACACGGAAACCCAAGAAUUGAGUCUUU